Molecule: non-coding RNA, 746 nt
Organism: Misgurnus anguillicaudatus (oriental weatherfish)
Lineage: Eukaryota; Metazoa; Chordata; Actinopteri; Cypriniformes; Cobitidae
Source: RefSeq, a predicted model, not a curated record
GUUUAAAGGAAUGCUGUUUCAGGACAUUUUUGACAAACAAUAAAGUUUAUGUACAUUCACUUACAGGUGUGAGUAACAUGGACCAAAGUUACAUUUCUUUGAAGAUUCUGGAGCUGUCAACAUUAAUACUCACGUUUUUGGCGGGAUUUGCAACUUCAGCAGUCCUCUUCUCUGUGGUGUUGUGUUGUCAGGAGAAACACAAAAGAGACACGACAUAUGAAGUGAUGGACACAAAGACAGAAUCUACUGUUAUUUUGGAGGUUUAUCAAGAAGAAAGACCUGAGAAAAAGUGGAAAUAAUCAUUAUAGGGCAAUCCAUAAAAUAGCAUUUGAUUACAUUUAGCAGGUUCUGAGUUUUUAUUAUUAUUAUGAAUGUACAGCACAUUAUAACAAGCAAAUAGAGAAUUGCUUUGUGUCAGAUAUACUGUGAAAAACAAAUGUAAUGUUAAGAAACAUAUGAAUAAGCUUUUGUUUAGUAUUUUUAGAAUGUGUUAACAGUUAGAAGUGUUAAGCACCUGAGGCUAUCCCAUAUUGUGAAUACAGUCACAUCUAAAGGGGUCACAGGAAGAUUUUUAGUUGACAACAAUCACAAUGUAGCACAGACUCUCAUCACAAACUAAUGUUAAUGUAACUGAACUGGUAAAGCUUAAUGUUUGCAAGGUUAAGUGUUACAUAAACACACUUGAAUGUACUAUAGUUAUUUUUGCGUAUGUUAAACUUGUAAUAAAUAACUGUAACUUUGUCAAA